Long non-coding RNA from Falco peregrinus (peregrine falcon), 832 nucleotides. RefSeq lists it as uncharacterized. The transcript has 4 exons. Lineage: Eukaryota; Metazoa; Chordata; Aves; Falconiformes; Falconidae. The record is from RefSeq and is a predicted model, not a curated record.
UAGGCAACGCUUUUUACUGAGAAUCUGUCACUUAUGCUGGUCUGACCUCAGGAAUUGUAGAAAGAAAGUUCACUUUCUUCCCUUUAUCCUCUUUUUAACUUCCUUGGUUUUCCAAUUCAUUUCUGCAGGCAUUUAUAUUGGAAUUUAGUGAAUCCUUCAAUAUUGGGCCGGACAGCUGAUCUUAGGCACUACACCAUACUGGAAUAAACAACCUGCUCCCGGCCUCCAGGGCACAAAACAGACUUCUACAUCAAUUCCUAUGUUACUCCUUACAACUAUGAGCAAUUUGUUUCUGAGGGUUUUUUUGUUUUGACUGUACAUCCUGCCUCUGCAUAUGCCAUACAGAAAUGCUAAGAGUGCUGAAGUCCAGCGACAGGAUGAAGUACCAGAACUGCAAGAAGCCGUCCAGGAGCUCUUUGACAUCCCUGCAGCACAGACCAGUAACGGCCUAUGCAAUAGGAUGGUGAGCUGCAACUCUGCAGACCUUAACAAACUGGGCUUGGAUCCACCAGUUGACCUGAGUAGCUGAAGGACCGGGCUUCUGGAAGAACAACAGGUCUGGGUCCCCUUGGACAUGUAUUACCAAAGGGGCUUAAGAGUAUGGUCAGUAGAGUCCAGGACAAAGAAGGCACCACCACUGCCAGCUCGUCAUGGAAAUGUGGGCAGCAGCCACAGCCUUCUGGGUGAGCUUCUGCAAAAUAUUUACUUUCAUUGUUCUUCUCCCUUUUGCCUUUAAAUUGCCUCUUAGGGAUGAUGUGAAGAUAAACAUGAAACAGGUUGUAAAAUGAUAUUUUGAUCAUGAGUGGAAUAAAAGACAGAAUCUUCUCUUCUA